Molecule: long non-coding RNA, 430 nt
Organism: Solanum pennellii
Lineage: Eukaryota; Viridiplantae; Streptophyta; Magnoliopsida; Solanales; Solanaceae
Exons: 3
Source: RefSeq, a predicted model, not a curated record
CCAAGACGAAACUUGUUCGAUGUUGUAUUUUCGGAACUCCCCAGGUACUUUCGCUCUCCUUCACCUUGGGAAGAGCCAUGAUCUUGCUACCGAUCCUCAACUAGAUCACAGUCAAGGCAAAGAUGAAAGUCAUCUAAGGGAAGAGAGAUAUUUUGAGCUUAUUGGAUAGUUCGGUACUUCUGCAGUAUCUAAGCGUUUUAGUUGAGAUGGUUCUCUGUCAUAAUUUUGCUGGCUUGUUUCCUGCUUCGGUGUUCUUUCUUUGACGUCUAUUGACUGGAUUGGUGGUAAUUGCCGCCAAAACUCCAAACGUCACCAGAAAGGUCCUGACACGAACAAAAUAGAAGCGUUUCAAGAUCUAGCUUCUUAAGCAUACCAACAUGACAUCAGAUCCACUCAUUAGAGAGAUUUGUUUAUUUAUGUUAUAUUAGGU